AUCAAAAACAUGUCUUUUUGAUAAAAAUUUAAGGUCUGGUCUGCUCAAUGAAUAAUUAUGAUAUUUUAAUAGCUGCAGAAUUUUAACUGUACAAAGGUAGCAUAAUAAAUAGUUUAUUAAAUGUAAACUGGAAUGAAUGAUUAAAUAAAAUGUUGACUGUAUCUUUAAAAGAGUAAAACUUUAUUUUUGUGUUAAAAAGCAUAAUUGUAGUUAUGGGACGAGAAGACCCUAUAGAUUUUUAUUAUCAAUGGAGUAUAAAUUAAAGUGUUGAUAAUUUGGGUGGGGUACUUUUUAAAUAAAAUGAAUUUUAAAUAUGUUUUACAUAAAUUUAUGAUUCAAAUAUAGGAGAAUAAUAAACUAUUUAUAAAACUAAAAUACCUUAGGGAUAACAGCGUAAUAAGUUUAAAAAGAUCAAAUUUUUGAAUGUGUUUGCGACCUCGAUGUUG
RNAcentral lists this ribosomal RNA (446 nucleotides) under Semaeomyia sp. DERV012. RNAcentral describes it as "partial 16S ribosomal RNA". Lineage: Eukaryota; Metazoa; Arthropoda; Insecta; Hymenoptera; Evaniidae. The record is from RNAcentral.